RNAcentral lists this ribosomal RNA (484 nucleotides) under uncultured bacterium. RNAcentral describes it as "partial 16S ribosomal RNA". It matches the Rfam family "Bacterial small subunit ribosomal RNA", at positions 30 to 507 of the family's 1533-position model. The record is from RNAcentral.
AUUGAACGCUGGCGGCAGGCCUAACACAUGCAAGUCGAGCGGAUGAAGGGAGCUUGCUCCUGGAUUCAGCGGCGGACGGGUGAGUAAUGCCCAGGAAUCUGCCUGGUAGUGGGGGAUAACGUCCGGAAACGGGCGCUAAUACCGCAUACGCCCUGAGGGAGAAAGUGGGGGAUCUUCGGACCUCACGCUAUCAGAUGAGCCUAGGUCGGAUUAGCUAGUUGGUGGGGUAAAGGCCUACCAAGGCGACGAUCCGUAACUGGUCUGAGAGGAUGAUCAGUCACACUGGAACUGAGACACGGUCCAGACUCCUACGGGAGGCAGCAGUGGGGAAUAUUGGACAAUGGGCGAAAGCCUGAUCCAGCCAUGCCGCGUGUGUGAAGAAGGUCUUCGGAUUGUAAAGCACUUUAAGUUGGGAGGAAGGGCAGUAAGUUAAUACCUUGCUGUUUUGACGUUACCAACAGAAUAAGCACCGGCUAACUUCGUG